RNAcentral lists this long non-coding RNA (9301 nucleotides) under Arabidopsis lyrata. Its description in RNAcentral is "long non-coding RNA (ALYR_LNC001818)". Lineage: Eukaryota; Viridiplantae; Streptophyta; Magnoliopsida; Brassicales; Brassicaceae. The record is from RNAcentral.
AUAUACUUAACCACAAGAGGACCUCUUAUUUGAAACCAAUGGAGAAAAUAAGAUAUCAAAACACCGAAUGCCAAACAACUCUAGUCAGCAAACAAGAUCAUCUAAAGACAGAGAGAUUCUAGUAGCUGACAACAACUCUGCCUUCCUCCUUCUCCGCAAGAGCAUCCCGGUCUGACCACUUUUGCUUUGUAGAUUUUUCUCUAGUUCGUGAAGUGGGCUUUGAAGAGUUCUUCUUACCCCUUUUCAAACUUCAUGGAGGAUUUCUGGUGGAUAACUUUGCCCCUCUGUCAUUGGAUUGUCAAAAACAAAAAUAAAAAAAACAGAAAAGGGGAAUCUUUUUGUCUCAUCAAGCUAUCUAAACAUUAAGAGCACCAAAUGAAUUGCGGCCAAUAAAAAUCCAAACUUUGAAUAAAAAUUUCCUCUAACAAAUACAGAGAUUCUACUUCAUAAAGAAAAUAAACCUGCUAGGACAAAGGAUGCUUUACAGUUUCUGAUUGAUGAUUCUGGAACUGAACAGUUUUCUGAUAGAGAAAAAGGGAGUGUGGCUGUCAAGUUUUUCUCUGAACUAGUUAAAUCUUCUUCUCCUAGCCAUGUAUCAGAGUAUCUGCUUAAUUUUCAGCCAAGAGUUUCGACUGCGAUGAAUCAAGAUUUAACUCGAAAGAUUUCUGAGUUAGAAAUUAGAGAAGCUGCUUUCUCAAUAAACAGUGAUAAAGCUCCAGGACCUGAUGGAUUGACUGGCUUUUUCUUUCAAAAAUAUUGGAGUGUGAUCAAGGACCAAGUGUUAUCUGAAGUUAGUAAGUUUUUUGACACAGGGAUCAUUCCCGAGGAAUGGAAUCAUACUCAUUUGUGUUUAAUUCCUAAGGUCUAUCCUCCUCAAAGAAUGACUGAUUUAAGACCCGUAAGUCUUUGCUCUGUUCUUUAUAAGAUUGUGUCAAUUAGAUCUUGGUGAAUAGGCUGAAGAAGCAUCUGUCUCAUAUUGUGUCUCCUACUCAAGCUGCCUUUGUUUCAGAGAGAUUGAUAUCUGAUAAUGUCUUGAUAGCUCAUGAAGCUAUUCAUAGUUUGAAAUCUCAUCCUGUUUUUUCUACAUCCUCGAUGGUAGUAAAGACUGACAUGUCUAAGGCUUAUGACAGAGUUGAAUGGUCAUUUCUCAAAGAAAUUCUACAUUCACUGGGUUUCAAUAAUCUUUGGAUUUCUUGGAUAAUGGGAUGUGUGACAUCUGUUACAUAUUCAGUACUGAUCAAUGGCCAACCUUUUGGUUUUAUUACACCUGAAAGAGGCAUUCGUCAAGGGGAUCCUCUUUCUCCUUUUCUGUUUGUACUUUGCACUGAAGCUUUGAUUCAUCUUUUUGAUCAAUCUACACGUGAAGGUACAAUAUCUGGCAUUCAAUUUCAUCCUUCAGGUCCAGUCAUCAACAACUUAUUGUUUGCGGACGAUAGUCUCUUUCUAUGUAAAGCCAAUAAAGAUCAAUGUUUGGAGAUGUUAAAUUGUCUAGCGAAAUAUAUAUGAGAGAAUCUCUGGCCAAAAGAUCAACAAAAGGAAAUCAGCCAUUACUUUUGGAUCUAAAAUUGAUGAUACUACAAGGAAGUGGAUUAAAGAUAAAACAGAGAUUGAGAUGGAAGGUGGGACAGGGAAUUAUCUAGGCUUACCGGAGUGUUUUAGUGGCUCUAAGAAAAAAUUGUUGGACUACAUUAAAGUCAGAUUGAAGAACAGACUAACAGGAUGGUUUGCAAAAAAUUUAUCACAAGGUGGUAAGGAAGUCCUUAUUAAAUCUGUGGCCAUGGCUCUCCCUGUUUAUGCAAUGACCUGUUUCAAACUGCCAAAGACUACUAUUCAGAAUCUGACAAGCGCUAUUAUGGAUUUUUGGUGGAGUAACUCAGAAGAUCACAAAAAGAUUCACUGGGUCGGGAUUGAAAAGAUGACAUUUAAAGAAUCAAAAACUCAAAGUUUGUAUAAAGAAUCCUUCCUUUAUUAAUGUUUAGAAAAUCUUCUCAAAACUAAACACAAGCUUUCUCUUCGCUCUCUUAUGAUCAUACAUCCUUCUUAUGAUCUCUAAUUAUAUAGUUAUGAAUUUCCUAUUCUAAUUUCCUUUUUAGAUUAGGAUUACAACUUUUUCCUUUUCCUAAUUAGAUUCCUAUUUCCUUUAAGGAUAUCUUCUAGAAUCUUCAUGAAGCUUACCCAACAUUCACCCCUUUAAGCUUCAAGUUGUUCUUCAUGAGAUCUUGAACUCCGAUCAUUUCUCUCAUCUUCUUAAACUUGAUUUUCGCCAAGGCUUUGGUAAGAAUGUCUGCACGCUGUUCUUCUCCGGGUACAUGCUCCACUUCAAUCAAUUUGUUCUCUACACAUUCACGGAUGAAGUGAAAACGUUUGUGGAUGUGUUUGCUCCUUUUGUGGAAAACAGGGUUCUUGGUGAGCUCGAUAGCCGAUUUGUUGUCAAUGCGGAUCAUCGUCUUCUCAUACUUCUUCCCUGUGAUUUCACUUAGCAAGUCUUGUAUCCAUAUAGCUUGCUUAGCUGCUUCCGUAGCUGCCAUGAACUCUGAUUCACAUGAAGACAAAGUCACUGUUUCUUGUUUUUGCGAGCACCAAGUUAUGGGAGCUUCUCCGAUAUAAAACACAUGUCCCGUGGUGCUUCUACCGUCGUCAGGGUCUGUGUUGUGGCUACUAUCACUAUAGCCUACAAUGUCUGGUGCUCCUUUCUUGUAUGUGAUUCCAUAGCUUACCGUUCCUUGUAGAUACCUUAGGAUUUGUUUCAAAGCAUUGCCGUGUGAUUCUCUUGGAUCAUGCAUGUAUUUGCUCAGAAUCCCCACUGAGAAUGCAAGAUCCGGUCGAGAGUGUAAGAGAUAUCUCAAGCAUCCAAUCCUUCUUCGAUACAUGGUAGCGUCGAUCUCUGGUUCAUCCAAUCCUUUUGACAAUUGCAAACCGAACUCCAUUGGUAUGUGUGUCGGGUUGCAAGCAUCCAAACCAGCUUCCUUAAGAAUUCGACGAGCAUAGGCUUCUUGCUUGAUUUCAAUUCCGUUGAUUCCUUGACUCACUUCAAUACCAAGGUAGUAAGUAAGUUUCCCAAGGUCAGACAUCUCGAACUUUGAAGACAUUCCAGCUUUAAACUCCUUGAUGAGUUCCAAUGUACUUCCUGUUACAAAAAGAUCAUCAACGUAUACGGCUACAAUCAAAAUCUUAGCUCCUUCUUCCUUGCGGUACACGGAACUUUCCUUUUGACACUUCUUAAACUUCAAAGUCUUUAGAAUUUGGUCAAGUUUUGUGUUCCAUGCGCGAGGAGCUUGACGUAGACCAUAAAGAGCUUUCUUGAGUUUGAAAACCUUAUGUUCUUCUCCCUUCUUUUCAAAUCCAUCAGGUUGUGAAACGUAAACGUCCUCCGUUAGUUCACCAUGUAGAAAGGCGGUCUUUACAUCGAGAUGAUGAAUCUCCCAACCAUGUGAAGCUGCCAAUCCAAUCAACAUUCUGAUUGAUUCUAACCUUGCAACUGGUGCAAAUACUUCGUCAAAAUCAAUCCCUUCUCUUUGUGCAUAUCCUUUAGCAACAAGUCUAGCCUUGAACUUGUUAAUUGUUCCAUCAGCGUUCCUUUUGAUCUUGAAAACCCACUUAAGACCAAUCACUUUUACACCUUGUGGUUUCUCACCUAGAUCCCACGUUUUGUUUUUGUUAAUCGAGUCGAUUUCCUCUUGACAUGCCUUUGUCCAUUCGACUGAUUCUUUUGCUUCUUGGUAAUUUAGUGGCUCGUCAUUGAGUGACAAGAGAAGUAUUUCACAUUCUAGAUCAGCUAGAAGUACAUAAUCAGCGAGAUAACCUGGAAGAUUACGUUGUCGACCUGAUCUUCUCAGUGGUGCUAUCUCUGUUUCACCAUUGUCGUGAUUCUGCACUUCUUCUUCCUCUGUUUCUUCUUGAUCAACUUCAGGUUGCAAGCUAUUGUCCGUGAAUGGACCUUGUCCGUUGUCUACAGCUGCUCCCCAUGUUAAUCGAAACAUUCCUGGUUGAUCUUCUUCGUUUCCUGCUCCCUUCCAAUUCCAAGACUCCUUCUCAUUGAAAACCACAUCACGACUAACAACCACUCUUCUCGUUGUUGGGUUGUAAAGUCGGUAUGCCUUCGUUCCUGGUUCUAUUCCAAGAUGAACAAGCGUUUGUGAGCGAUCAUCAAGCUUUUUCAAGUGCUCUGUUUCCACCUUUGCAUGAGCAAUGCAUCCAAAAAUCCUAAGAUGCUCGAUACUUGGCUUUCUUUCUCUUAGGCAUUCAUACGGUGUUUGAUUCUUUAGAGCUCGCGUCGGAACUCUAUUGAUCAAAUAUGUUGAAUGUCUUACAGCCUCUCCCCAUAAAUAAUUUGGAACAUUCAUUGCCUUAAGAAUGCUCCGCGUCAUCUCCAUUAACGUACGAUUUCUUCUCUCAACUACUCCAUUUUGUUGAGGAGUAUAGGGAGCUGUAAGAUGCCUUCUGAUUCCACUUGUGUUACAGUAAUCUUGAAAAUCUCUUGAUGUAAACUCACCGCCUCUGUCUGUGCGCAAAGUUACAAUUUUCUUGUCACAUUCCUUCUCGACAAGAGCUUUAAACGCUUGAAACUUCUCAAAGGCUUGGCUCUUCUCUUUGAGCAAAAUUGUCCACAUAUAUCUAGUGUAAUCAUCCACUAUUACAAAGAUAUAUUGGUUCCUAGCAAGUGUAGCUGGAGAUAUAGGUCCACACAAAUCUGCGUGUAGUAAUUCCAAUGCUCGUGUAGACCUAUAUUGUGUUGAAUUUGGAAACGAAUGUCUCGUCUGUUUUCCUACCAAACAUGAUUCACACAACAAUUUCUUACUUGUGAUUUUAGGCAUGCCUUGUACCAUCUCUUGUGUAGACAUCGAGUUCAGCGUUUUAAAACUGAUAUGGCCAAGUCUCGCAUGCCACUUCCAUGGUUCUUCAUCAAUUCUUGAGUGUAAACAUGUUGGUUUGCCUAUUUUUAGGCUGAUCUUGUACAAUCUAUUUGGAGAACGUGUUACCUUUGCCAAUAAACAUCCAUUAGGAUCACGUAAGGUGAGAUAAUCAUCCUUCAUUCUCACAUCACAACCGUAUUCUGUAGCUUGUCCUAAGCUAAGAAUGUUACUUUUCAACAUUGGGAUGUAGUAGAUGUCUGUUAGUAGUCUCUGUUCACCGUUCUUUCCUUCAAAGAGAAUUGAUCCCUUUCCUCCAAUACUGACACAAGAUCCAUCACCAAACUUCACCAUUCCUUUGAUGUUCUCAUUUAACUCAGAAAAGUAUCCUUUCUCUCCUGUCAUAUGGUUGCUUGCACCAUUAUCCAAAUACCAAAUUCCAUCUUCUCUUUUGUUUGACUCGAACUUUUCCGGGAUUACCUUCUCUUCAUUCAAGUAAACUAUUUCGUGCAUAUACAAGGCUGUAUCUGCUUCUUCUGUCUCGUUUUUGUUGAGCUCUUGGUCCUUUGGAAUCUUAACCGGGCAAGCAGAUGCGAAGUGACCUGGUUUCUCACACCGGAAACAAAUAAUUUUAGAUCUGUCCUUUUGUUCUCUGUCUUGUGAGCUCCCUCUUCCACGUCCUCUGCCUCUGUUACCCCGACCACGUCCUCUGCCUCUGUCACGUCCUCUUCCUCUACUGUUGUCUCCUUCCGUAUUUGAGAACAAGAGGUUUUGCUGAGUUUCUUGUGCAGCAGCUUGCCCGUUUACACGAGACUCAAAAGCUUUAAAUCUCCCAGUUAUGUCUUCGAAACUAGUUUUAUUUAGGUCCAAGACUUGUUCAAGAGAAGCAAUGAGAUGUAUAAACUUGUUUGCGGGUAGGCUGUUUAGAAACUUUUUCACCAACUUUGGUGCAUCAAUAGGUUGACCUAGCGAGGCUGCUGUCGAUGCUAUCUCUGAUAACUUCCCUGAGUAGCUAUCGAUGGUCUCUGAAUCUUUCAUCUGCAGACGAUCAAAUUCAGACAUUAGGGUUUGGAGACGAGCUUCCUUGACGCGUUCUACACCUUGAUUUUUUGAUUUUAUUGCUUCCCAUAUCACUUUUGGUGAGUCCUGCUCGCCGAUUUGCAGGGUAAGGCUCUCUGGUAUGGAUUGGUACAACAAGGCUGUUGCAACGUCAUUCUUCUCUUCAUUAUCUGUUCCUGGAUUAAUUGCAACCCAAGCUUUGUGAACUCUCAAUGUCGCCUUCAUCCUCAAUGUCCAGACAGCGUAAUUUGUUGUAUUCAACAUCGGACAUUUAACGCCGGAGGAUGAAGUCAGCGUAUUGAUCUCAGAUUUUACUUCAGCCAUGAUUCGUAUGAGUUCCUUUUCUCUCCAGGAUUUGCUCUGAUACCAAAUAAAGAAUCAAAAACUCAAAGUUUGUAUAAAGAAUCCUUCCUUUAUUAAUGUUUAGAAAAUCUUCUCAAAACUAAACACAAGCUUUCUCUUCGCUCUCUUAUGAUCAUACAUCCUUCUUAUGAUCUCUAAUUAUAUAGUUAUGAAUUUCCUAUUCUAAUUUCCUUUUUAGAUUAGGAUUACAACUUUUUCCUUUUCCUAAUUAGAUUCCUAUUUCCUUUAAGGAUAUCUUCUAGAAUCUUCAUGAAGCUUACCCAACAACAUUGCCUAAAAAACUUUGGUGGUUUUGAUUUUAAAGAUCUGGAAAAUUUCAAUCAAGCUCUUUUAGCGAAGCAAGCCUGGCGAUUAUUAUAUGAGCCCAAUUGUCUUUUUUCAAGAUUCUUCCAAAGCAGGUAUUUUGUGAAUUCUCCAUUUAUAAAUGCACCUGUUGGAAGUCGUCCCUCGUAUGCUUGGAGAAGUAUUUUGUUUGGUAGGAAUCUUUUAACUCAAGGACUUAAAAGAAUAAUUGGUAAUGGAAAAGAGACUUUGGUUUGGAUUGAUAAGUGGAUCUAUGAUGGUAGAGAUAGGAGACCCGUAGGAAUUCAAUCCCUCCAAAAUAUCAGACUUAAAAGUGGAUGCUCUCAUCAAUACGCAAACUGGUUGGUGGAAUGAUAGCUUAUUACGAUCUUUGUUCCAUCAUUCAGAUGUUACAAUCAUUAAAGCAUCACGACCUUUAGUUGAUAGGCCAGAUUCUUUUUGUUGGGCUGAAACCAGGAAUGGUAUUUACUCUGUUCGAUCAGGAUAUGAGUUAGCUUAUAGACUUCGUUAUGCAGCUCAGAUUACAGAAGCUACUACGUGUCCUUCAAGAAACUCAAUUUUGGCGGCAUGUUGGAAGGUUCCCACUGUUCCUAAAAUCCAGGUCUUUCUUUGGAAAUUACUAAGAGGUGCUCUAGCUGUAACAGAAAGGCUAAAAACAAGGGGAAUUAAGAAUUAUGAUGGUUGUUUGUUCUGUGAUGCUGAGCUUGAAACAAUUAAUCAUAUCUUGUUUCUCUGUCCUUUUGCGAGACAAGUAUGGGCUUUGUCUAAUAUUCCAUCACCACAUUCAGGCUUUGGUACUUCUGAAUUUGAGAAUCUACAUUAUCUCUUGAGCCUACGAUCACAACAACAUGGGUUCGAAGAUAUUAAGGUUGUUUUCCCUUGGGUUUUAUGGCAUUUGUGGAAAAAUAGGAAUUCUCUUCUUUUUGAAGGUUCAUAUUGUCCAUCAAAUUCCUUAGUUUUAAAAGCAUUGGAGGAUGCUCAAGAAUGGAUUUUGGCUCAAGAGGUCAAAGGAGAAAAUGUGGUUACGCUUCCAAUCAGACAUGACUUCUGGGAACCUCCUUUGCAGGGUGAUUUUAAAUGCAAUAUCGGUUACUCUUGGUCCAAACUACAUCGUCUCGCAGGUGUAUCAUGGGUUCUUAGAGAUUCUAUGAGCAAUGUAGUCCUCCAUAGUCGUCGAUCUUACUCUCAAGUAGUUUCCUUGUUUGAAGCUAAGAUUAAGAGUUGGGAAUGGGCCAUUGAGAGUAUGAAGAGUUUGCAUGUACAGAAAGUGACUUUUGGUGCCACUACAAUGGAGAUAAUCAAAGCCCUUCAUAAACCAAAUGACUGGCCAGCACUUAUAAGUCACAUUUUUCCACUGUUAUCUAUGACUGAUGAGAUGGAAAAUUGGUUCAUUAUUUUUGAACCUAAUAGGUGUAACAAGGGGGCAUAUAAAAUAGCUACAAGUGUUACUUCUGAUAUAAGAGUGAAUUCUUAUGUGGCUCAAAGUUACCCUAGGUGGAUGGAAGGUUUCUUCAUUAAGGAAAAGAGAAAUGCGGCUAGAUUCUACUGAUUCUACCUCUUCUCCAAGCUAUGAUAGAGAUCCAGGAUCCAGAGCUAAAAGGACGAUGGAGAUUGGAGAAUUUUCUAAAAGAAAGUGUUAAAAGGAAUCGUCAAGAGCAGAUGAGGAAUAUCCGGCAACGUCGUCAAGAGCAUGAGAUCAAGUUUUAUCCGACCAAUCCUAAUCAUCCUUAAUGUUUCAAACAAGGGUACAACUCAGAGGAUACGUGAAUCAUAUCUCUGAGAUUUCACAGGUUUUUUGGUUUAGUUUCUUAGGUCUAUGAAGAAAUAAAGAUCCACUUUUUAGUGUGACUGUAUAGUUCAAGAAUGUGAAUCUUUUUGGAAGGAAGUUCUUGGGUAACUGAAGCUUAUGCUUCUCUUAGCGGACAGUAUUGGCAGACAAAUGCUGAUGUUUAGCUCGAGUGGAAUACUUUUUGACGAGCCUUACAACUUAAGUUUGCGGGUGAAUUCUGGAUUUUCAAGAUUCAGCUUCAACGAAGACAGGUUUCAUGCAAGCAGUGAAUCUCCUUUCGUCUCCUUGUUUUUCUUGUUCUUGUAUCUUUCUACUUAUCGUUGUCUUUCACUUAUUUAUUAGGUGUCUUAUUUGGGUUUUAAUCCCUGUAACUUUACUUGCCUCUCCUCAAUGGGUCUCCAUUUGUGGAUGCUGUUUGUAUGACUGGUGAUGUUUUAUAUAUAAUACAUAAUCCUUUUUGGAAAAAGAAGAAAAUAAACCUAAAACCAUAGGAUAACAUAGAGCUUAGAAUAUCCUACUUCUGAGAAAUCAAAUGAUAAGAAGGAAUCAACACGCAUAUAUAGGACAAUCAGUAGUAAUCACUACCCUAAGAAUCUCUUUGCAAUCGUCAGGAAACAAAGCAAUGAGCUUUAUCACCUUUGGGAUAAGCAAUAAGACGCCUGUACAAAAAACAAACAAAGUCCCAUCUAAAACUUAAAUUCCACAAAAAAAAAAAAAAAAAAAGGAUGAAAUUGUUUGAAAUCGUUUCUCCAUUUUACCAAUCGCAGCCCGCGACAGUGAAGAAGCAAGAGUAGCAACACUUCUCUUUCAAAGAUGAGAUAUUUUCCAAAAAUCCCAAUUGAAAUUUCUUCACCAUUUCCUUACCAGAGCACGAAAAGGUACGUGAAGCUCGUAAAGCAGUAUAUGAAUCGCAACAAUUUUGCUUCCAAAUCCAGUA